Long non-coding RNA from Ailuropoda melanoleuca (giant panda), 4201 nucleotides. RefSeq lists it as uncharacterized. The record is from RefSeq and is a predicted model, not a curated record. Lineage: Eukaryota; Metazoa; Chordata; Mammalia; Carnivora; Ursidae. The transcript has 3 exons.
UACAGUGGGAAAUCCAUUGCUGCUGAGGGAAGGGAAAUGAAAAUAUCCUCUACUCAUGUGAGAGGGACAGGAACAAGGACUGGGCUCAGACCUAUAGCUGAAGGGGAGGCAGGAGUCCUGAGAAGGCCACAUCCCAACACCCAGGAACAUAGUAUCUGCCUAAGAAUCAGGUUUAACCAGAACAACAAAGAACACCCCCCCACACACACCAUAAGGCUAACAAGCUCUGAGGAAUGAGUAGCAGUAGAAUACUGAUGGGAGAAUUGCAAGUGGAUUCUCAGGAGGUGCAUUAUACAGGAAAGACCUAAAGUUCAGGAUGGAGCAGGAAUUGAAAAUACCCUCUGGAAAACCAGCUGCUACCCUACAAGGUACUGUUAGACUACAAGGUAUUGUUAGAGGUAUCUGAAGCCUAUGGUACACUGAGGGUAACCAUAGCAACAAUAAACCUCCAACCCAGUCCCACUCCUGACUGUAUUAACCCUGAUUCCCACACAAAAGGAAGAAGAAGCACACCAAUUCCCAGUCAUGAAAACUGUCUACUCCAGUUCCUACUGUCAUACACAAGAUGUUCAGCUUUCAGCAAAAAGUUACGAAGCACAUGGAAGCACAAUUUUAAAAAAAUCAGUACCCUGCCAAGAGACAAAGCAAUCAACAGAAACAGACUCCGAUAUGGUGCAGAUGUUGAAACUAUAUGAUGGGAAAUUUUAAACAACUAUGAUGAACAUAUUAAAGUCUAAUGGAAAUGCAGACAGCAUACAAUAUCAAAUAGGUAAUGUCAGCACAAAGAGGGAAACCACAAGAAAGAAUCAAAUGGAAAUGCUAGAAAUGAAAAAUGUAGAAAUAGAGAUGAAGAACCCCCUUUGAUGGACUCAUCUGUAGGCUUCACACAAUCAAGAAGAGAACCAGUGAACUUGAUGACAGGCAAAUAGAAAUUAGCCAAACCGAAACACAAAGAGAAGAUAGAGGAAAAAAUGAACAAUACAGAAUACUCAAGAGCUGUCUGACAACGUCCAAUAAGAAAUAUGUACUCGGAAUCACAGAAGCAGAGGAGGAGAGAACAGGGCUGAAGAAAUAUGGAAGAAAUAAUGGCUAAGAAUUUCCAAAAGUUGAUGACAGACACAAACCAUAGAUUUAAGAAGAUCAGAGAACAUUGAGCAGGAUAAAUACCAAAAUCAAACAAAAGAACAAACAAAAACCUCAAUGUUAUACUCAAACUCCUGGACAAAAAAAAAGAUAGAAAAUUUUGAAGGCAGCCACAGAAAAAAAACACAUACUGCUGAGGAAUAAGAAUUACAGCACUCCUUGUUAGAAAUGAUGCAAGCAAUAAGGCAAUGGAGUAACACCUUUAAAUGUUGAAAGCAAAAAAAAUCUGUCAAACAAAAAUUCUGUGCCUAGCAAAAUAGCUUCAAUAAAUGAAAGAGAAACAGACAUUCUCAAACAAAAACUGAGAAGAAUUCGAAGGUUUUGUCCUACCGAGAAUAACCCUACCAACAACAAACCUCAAAGCCAGCCCAGCUCCUGGCAAGAUUAACAUUAACCCUCACACUAAAGUCUACCAGAAGGAAAGGCUUUGGAAAUGUUAAAGGAAUAUAGCAUCAGAGAGAAACUCAGAAGACCUGCACAAAGAAAUGAAGAGUGCCGGAAAUACAAUAAAUAAAGGCCCCACCUGCUAAAAAUCACUUCAAGGAUUAGGAUCUCAACAUAUGAAUCUGGGACAGACCAUAGCAGGAGAUCUCCCCAUGUCUCUCAUCCCCCUCCUGGGACCAGUGGGCAGUCCAGGCUCAUGUCUGCUACUAUCCCAUUGGCUGAAGCAAGUCACAUGGCCAAACUCCCCAUCAAAAGCUGAGAAAUACAUUCCAUCCUUGGUGGGAGAGACUACAAAGUUGUGCAGAAUUUCUGGCUCUGGAGUGGCAGCCACUUCCCCGUUCUACGAUUCUGUACGUAGCAUGCCUUUCUGCGUCCAGCCAGGUGGAUGGUAAUACUCAUCUGUAGGCUGUCUUCCACGAGGCAAUAGACUUGGUGUUGGCUUUUCUUGGCCCUCCUGCCCUUAGAAUACCAAAACCAUUUCCAAAAGAAGUAAUGAGAAGUUUGGGAAGAGCAAGGGAGGGUUGAAUAGGUGAAGCCCAGGUGGUAUUUAAGGGUGGUGAAAUUAUUCUGUACAAUACUGUAAUGACUCUAUGCUUUUGUCAAAAUCCAUAGAACUUCACAGAACAAAGAGUAAACUUUGUAAACAUUAAAAAAAAUCAUUUAAGAAGGAGGUCAGGGAUCCCAUUUGGGACUCCCAGGGCGUGGAGCCUUCUCCUUUCGGAGAUAGGUGGAAAGCUUUAGAUGCCUUAGAUGGUGUGCAGUGGCUGAGAAAUCCAGUCCUAGACAAAGCUUUACCUGCACAGUUCGAAGAGGAGGAUUAGCAUUCAACCAAGCCAUGUUCAUGAGCGAUCCACAACUGGAAUCAACAGAAAUGUAUUAAGUAAUCUGGAGCACAGAAACAAGAACAGAGUCCAUGCUACCAGGAAUCAGCAGCACUCAGGACAUGCAUUAUCUCAACCCUGCCUCUUUGGCCUCCUUUUCUAUAACUGUCCCUCUGCACCCUGUGCCCAGCCAACUCCCCAUGCUUCAGUCACUCUUCAUUCUGCCGGUUUCUACAACACUUCAAGAUUUUUCCUACUUGAAUGCCCUUGCCUUACUGUUUCCCAAGCCUGGAAAGCUAUUGCCUCAUCUCUUCACCUGGUUUUUCUCUUUCCCCUCUUUUUUUUUUUAAAGAUUUAUUUAUUAUUUUAGAAGGAGAGAGAGAUCAGGGGGAGGGCAGAAGGAGAGGGAGAGAGAAUCUCAAGCAGACUCCCCGCUGAGCAUGGAGCCUGACAUGGGGCUCGAUCUCACAACCCUGAGAUCAUGACCUGAGCGGAAAUCAAGAGUCAGACACUUGACCGAAGCACCCAGGUGCCCCGCUCUUCCUCCUCUUAAAAUCUCAGCUGAAAUGAUCCUUCCCUAUAGGAGCCUCUUACUAUUCUCUAUCACAGCACCAUUCAUAUUUUGUGUAGCACUUACAUUCUGUAAUUAUAAUGUUCACUUUUAUUGUUUAUGAUCUGCCCCUCCCUCUAUAAUGUAUUUUCCAUAUUUUUCUUUUCACUACUAAUGUAUUCCUAUUAUCUAAAACACUGCUUGGCAUAUAAUAGAUGUUCAAUAAAUAUUGACUGAAGUGGCUACUGUUUGUUUAAUAUUUGGCUCAAGGUCCCAAUGGAGUGUAGACCAUACCUUAGCAUGAGUGUCAUGAGAAUAGUCAGGAAGUCCCACACCGCACACACUAUGCUAAGAAAGAAUCCAUGUGAAACUACUGGCUGGCUACAGCUAAAUCCCUAGUACUCCAAGAAAGACAUCAACAGCAGCUCAAUGUUCAGGUGCUGGCCCACAACUGCUAAGGUGGGGCAAACACCAGCUCAUAGGUAGAAAAUCACCCAUCCAAAAGAAAGACACAGCACUGAGAUAUUACUGCUUUGAUACAAAAUGAAAGUGGAAAGUGGAACAGGUCCAAAUAAAAGAUCCAUAAAAACCUUAGUGGUCAAGCUGCCCCCCCAGGCAUAUUUUGCUGGCAGUUGUCAUUCAGGGUAGGGAGCAGAGGAGAGAUGCCCCACAGGACUUUCAGGGAAGCAGAGAAAGGAGUGAGACAGAGAAGACUUGAACCUACUCCAAAUCUCUAAAGAUCUUCAGACACACUCCAAUGCCUUACAACAACCGAACUGCACACUAUUGAGCGGGGCCUGGGCUGUUUGUGAAGCCACAAAUUCUUCAGAGAUUUGGAGUAGAUACAAAUCUUUGUUUUCCUUGAACCCUGUGCCAUGAUAGAGCAGUAGGCACAGAGCCAUGGGAGAAGGCACUCUGCUGGAGCCCAUGGCAAGGAUCUCAGACUUCAAGUUUCUCUGAUAGGUGGCUGAUGGGCAGAUGUGGGAAUACACCUUCCAGAAUGGCCAUACCUGUCCCCUCGUUGCUUGUGGUUCUUAGGCAAGCUGAUCAAGCCUGAUAACCAUAUAAAACCUGGAGGGGUUUACAAUAGAGGGAUAAACUUUUCCCAGUCCGUGCAGUUGAGAAAGAGUUGUCCAUCCCCUUCUUGGAGGAGCCCAGAGGGAGCAUGGGAUUCUUGUGUGCACUUCAGCAGCAAGUGAACCCCUUCUAUGUUAGCCCAGCCCCUUCACUGCUCAUCCAGUAA